AACGCACCUUGCGCUCCUUGGUAUUCCGAGGAGCAUGCCUGUUUGAGUGUCAUCGAAAAUCUCAAGCCAAGCUGUUUUGACAUUGGUCGAAAAAGCCUGGAUUUUGGAGUGUGGGAGGUCUGCAGGCAGUCCCGAUCUUGGGACUGCCAGCUCUCCUGAAAUGCAUUAGUGGGAUGGGCAUUGCGACCAGCCUCUUCGACGUCGUAACGCGAUCGUCGUGGACUUGUGAGCUUUCCCCCCCUUGACUUUGCUAUUGGUGAAGGCUUGACCUCAAAUCAGGUAGGACUACCCGCUGAACUUAA
Molecule: ribosomal RNA, 302 nt
Filed under: uncultured Pisolithus
Lineage: Eukaryota; Fungi; Basidiomycota; Agaricomycetes; Boletales
Description: eukaryotic LSU rRNA
Rfam family: 5.8S ribosomal RNA (bases 1-52)
Source: RNAcentral